GUAAGGGAAUAUGCCAGUGGCGGUCCCUAGAGUGUCCUGGGACAGCCGCUCAUUUCUCCUCCUAGCACUCCCGCCAGGAGUGUAGCAGAGAAGGGGUGCCUGCAGUGUGCGCGCCAGGGAGGGCACAGAAGAGGGGAGCCAAUAUGUUUUGGAGAUGUAGUUGGGAGCCAGGGAUCUGUGCAUCGUGAAUAUUUUGAUCAGCGGUCGGCAUUGUAGUCAGAUCACCAAAUGGUUGAACAGAGGUCAGAGUCAAUACUGAAUUGAAUGAAAGAAUGAAGAUGAGAAGACACUCUGCGUAAUUGGAGCAGCUCCUGAGUGCCCCGAACAACCAAAAUGUUGACUUUGAAAUAACAAAAUAAAGCUGGGCAAUGGAUAUAAGAAAAU
Molecule: long non-coding RNA, 384 nt
Organism: Sarcophilus harrisii (Tasmanian devil)
Lineage: Eukaryota; Metazoa; Chordata; Mammalia; Dasyuromorphia; Dasyuridae
Exons: 2
Source: RefSeq, a predicted model, not a curated record